CUUGACAUGGCAGGAAUCCCUGAGAGAUUGGGGAGUGCUCGAAAGAGAACCUGCACACAGGUGCUGCAUGGCUGUCGUCAGCUCGUGUCGUGAGAUGUUGGGUUAAGUCCCGCAACGAGCGCAACCCUUGUCAUUAGUUGCUACGAAAGGGCACUCUAAUGAGACUGCCGGUGACAAACCGGAGGAAGGUGGGGAUGACGUCAAGUCCUCAUGGCCCUUAUGGGUAG
RNAcentral lists this ribosomal RNA (227 nucleotides) under uncultured beta proteobacterium. RNAcentral's name for it is "partial 16S ribosomal RNA". It matches the Rfam family "Bacterial small subunit ribosomal RNA", at positions 980 to 1211 of the family's 1533-position model. The record is from RNAcentral. Lineage: Bacteria; Pseudomonadati; Pseudomonadota; Betaproteobacteria.